GAGCCGCGUUGUCACGCGCCGUGGCGGGUACUGGACUGGCGGAGCCCGGGGAGUGAAGUAGUGAAAUCGGACCUACGCCUCUCCAACGCUCGCGUGAUCACGUGGUUGGCACCCAGGCGGAAGUCUGCGGCAGUUCUUUGCGGUGAAGAACUUGCAAAGCGUUGCUGGAAAAGACGGGAGUUCUACUGACACUCCAGUCCAAAGCUAGGUGGGACCGCCUCCUGUCGCACGUUUCCGCCUGGUCCCGCGCUUUAGGAGCUAGGAAAUGUGACAGAGGCGGUGCCUACUGCCUCGCUAGGAAUGGCCGCGGAGGAGGACUGGUCACGUGGCGUGGCUUCCGGCCUCUGGCGCGUUCCUAUUCGGGAAGGUUUUAAAUGCGGAGUCAUCUCUUGAUUUGUCAGCGAGGCUUUGACUGUGAGCUUCGCGGCGUUCGCGCCUCACCGCCUCACCGAGGGUGGGUCUUUCGCGCGCAGAAUUGUGUAGGAUUUUCCAAAGGGAGUAAAAGCCGAUCGGGGCCUACUUUUAACAUUCCACAAUUAGUAACGUCUGAUUCGUUUGUUUCCACAGUGGGUACGCUGCGAAGACUAGGCUUAUGUUACCCAGAGGUUAGUCCUCUACUAGGCCACGUACUUUAAAUAAUUUAUCACGCUAGUGGAAAUGCGGGGUGGAAGAAAACCCCACCAGCCUUUGGAUUGUAACAGCACAGUAACUUUCCCUGGUUUUUAAAAAUAUUGCCAAAAUACUGCGACUCCAUGUGGCCAACGUAUAGUGACUGAUCACUUUGAAAUGCAUGCCCUUGACCCACCAACUCGCAUGGCCUCUCGCUAUAAGAGAGCAAGCCGGCUGUGUUCCAUGUUCAAUUCAAUAAGUGCAAUUCAAUAAGCUUUUGACUUGUUCUGCCCAAGCAAAUCCUGCCUUUAUAUCGACCUUGCAAGCAGAACAGAGAAUGCUGUUUGGAAGGCAGAAUUCAUAGUACCUAGUUUUCUUGUCCCUGGGAAUUUUGAGGGACUUGAAAUGUCGCGUGGAUGAGUGAGGGAGUUUGUCUUCCAGAGACAAAGCAAAACGAAACGUCAAAGUUCUGUGCUGGUGAAACCAGAUUUGAAGAAUAUCAAAGGCGUCUUACCAAAGAGGAAAAAAAAUGCAUCUUGCCAAGACUUGAAGAAAGGGAUUAGAGAAACCAGAGGCCUUGAAUACUCAGAAAAUGGGAGAUUGUGAAUGGGUGUAGAGGAUAUCUAUGAACCUUGACAUUUCUUUUCACGCCAAGUCCAUUCCCCUGU
RNAcentral lists this long non-coding RNA (1277 nucleotides) under Homo sapiens (human). RNAcentral's name for it is "non-protein coding lnc-TSHR-9:1". Lineage: Eukaryota; Metazoa; Chordata; Mammalia; Primates; Hominidae. The record is from RNAcentral.